RNAcentral lists this ribosomal RNA (468 nucleotides) under uncultured bacterium. RNAcentral describes it as "partial 16S ribosomal RNA". It matches the Rfam family "Bacterial small subunit ribosomal RNA", at positions 28 to 507 of the family's 1533-position model. The record is from RNAcentral.
GACGAACGCUGGCGGCGUGCUUAACACAUGCAAGUCGAACGGAAAGGCCCUGCUUUUGUGGGGUGCUCGAGUGGCGAACGGGUGAGCAACACGUGAGUAACCUGCCCUUGACUUUGGGAUAACUUCAGGAAACUGGGGCUAAUACCGGAUAGGAGCUCCUGCUGCAUGGUGGGGGUUGGAAAGUUUCGGCGGUUGGGGAUGGACUCGCGGCUUAUCAGCUUGUUGGUGGGGUAGUGGCUUACCAAGGCUUUGACGGGUAGCCGGCCUGAGAGGGUGACCGGCCACAUUGGGACUGAGAUACGGCCCAGACUCCUACGGGAGGCAGCAGUGGGGAAUAUUGCACAAUGGGCGGAAGCCUGAUGCAGCAACGCCGCGUGCGGGAUGACGGCCUUCGGGUUGUAAACCGCUUUCGCCUGUGACGAAGCGUGAGUGACGGUAAUGGGUAAAUAAGCACCGGCUAACUACGUG